Molecule: transfer RNA, 68 nt
Filed under: Glossodoris acosti
Lineage: Eukaryota; Metazoa; Mollusca; Gastropoda; Nudibranchia; Chromodorididae
Description: tRNA-Cys
Source: RNAcentral
AGGGCUGUAGUUUAUGUUAAAAUAACAAGUUGCAAGCUUGAUGAUGGGAAACAGUCCCCUCAGCUCCG